CGCUACAGCCGUGUGGCAUGUUGACACACCCGAUCCCUUGAUCUCGAAAGUUAAGCAACGUCCAGUCUGGACAGUACUUAACUGGGAGACCACCCAAGGAUGACCGGAUGCUGUAGAUU
RNAcentral lists this ribosomal RNA (119 nucleotides) under Branchiostoma floridae (Florida lancelet). The record is from RNAcentral. Lineage: Eukaryota; Metazoa; Chordata; Leptocardii; Amphioxiformes; Branchiostomatidae.